RNAcentral lists this long non-coding RNA (1364 nucleotides) under Capra hircus (goat). RNAcentral's name for it is "lncRNA (ENSCHIG00010031833.1)". Lineage: Eukaryota; Metazoa; Chordata; Mammalia; Artiodactyla; Bovidae. The record is from RNAcentral.
CUAAGAGUUGAUAAUAAUCAAUGAGGAGGAAUAUACAGAAAUAUCACAUGAGUCAACUCACAUGAGAACUGAUGUUUCAAUAUAGGAUAUGUCAAAAAAUGAAAAAUUCAUCUUAUUUUAGAACUAAACCUCUUCCAUUCUAAUCAAAAAUAUGCUCAAUGCUGAAGAGUAAAAAUCAGUGGUUGACUUACAGACUUUUUCCCUUUCAAUCUUGUUCUGGGGCAAAAAGUCUUUUUCUUAUUACUGUUUAUUCUAAAGUACUGAUCUUCUAUUUAUAUAGUUCAUCUUCUAUUUUAAUAAUUUAUAUCCCUGGGAUAUGUGUUUAGGUCUUCUUGUCUGAAACCAGCCUGUUCCACUAUUCAGAACUUAAUGAGCUUCUUAAACAGAAACAUUUAGGGGCUGUCAAACACCUAUUGCAAACCUUAGCCCCGACUUUGACAUAUAAAUACUCCACUCAGAUUAUUCAGUAGAAUAAAUAUAUUUGGUUGUAGUUCUCCCUUUGGGCAGUAGUCACUGCUUUCUUUUCCUCCUUAUGUCAAGUCAUAAGUUUUUGAGGCUGUUGUUGCAUUUCUACUAAAUACUUGCUUGAAUAUGUGCCACUUUGUGAGAUAAGAAACCUCUAUUCCCAACAUAUAUGGAAAGAACAAACUAUAUUUACAUAAUAUUUUCAUAAAUAUUAAAAGUGAUGUGUUAAAAUAAAGAAGAUAUUUUUACCUUUCUUCAAAAAGAUAUAACAAGAAAAUAGAAAUGCAAGUACUCAUGCGUGGGAGGAAGGUGAUGUUUCAUUAUACUUUAAACUACUUUGGCAGUUGUUUUCCUUAUAUAUAUGCAGGAUAUUAAAGUGUUAGCUGUGUGUGUGUGAUUUAUUGUGAAGCCUCUUUGCCCAAAAAAGCCCUGCUAUUUUAGGGAAGUUCAAUAUAUUUCCUUUGGGGGAGAUUAAAUAAAAUAUGUUAACUCAGUUAAAUUUGGAGUCUGAUGACAAAUGACUAAAUGUGUUCAAAUGAGGCAGGCACAGGAAAUCUGUCCAGCAAAGGACUAAACUGGGAAAUAAUGUUUGAAUGUCCACUGGCACAGUUUUUCAGUGUGUUGCUCUAGAGUUCGGUAUUACAGUAUGCCAUUAAUUUUAAGUAGUGAAUUAAACAAGAGAAAUAAGAUUCUUUUAUUCUGGCACAUGCACGCAACUCAGCUCUUCAGCUGUACACUAAAAUUCAAAUGUACACAUAAAGAUAAAAUUAGGAUGGGAAAGUGGAACAUAUUUUAGAUUUUAGUCUAUGAUAUUUAAAAAAGAGAAGGAUGUCUCAACCCCAAAUUGCAUGUCGAAGUACAAUCAGGAAGUAUUGGUAUUAUAUUCUGAUACUGAAACU